Molecule: ribosomal RNA, 292 nt
Filed under: uncultured bacterium
Lineage: Bacteria
Description: partial 16S ribosomal RNA
Rfam family: Bacterial small subunit ribosomal RNA
Source: RNAcentral
GUGUCAGCAGCCGCGGUAAUACAGAGGGUGCAAGCGUUAUUCGGAAUUACUGGGCAUAAAGAGCGCGUAGGCGGUUCUAUAAGUCUGAUGUGAAAUCCCUGGACUCAAUUCAGGAAGUGCAUCGGAUACUGUAGGACUAGAGUACAGGAGGGGAGAGCGGAAUUCCUGGUGUAGAGGUGAAAUUCGUAGAUAUCAGGAGGAACAACAGUGGCGAAGGCGGCUCUCUGGACUGUUACUGACGCUGAGGCGCGAAAGCGUGGGGAGCAAACAGGAUUAGAUACCCUGGUAGUCC